UUAAAUUGAGAGUUUGAUCCUGGCUCAGGACGAACGCUGGCGGCGUGCUUAACACAUGCAAGUCGAACGGGAUUUAGUAAACAGAAGCCUCGG
RNAcentral lists this ribosomal RNA (93 nucleotides) under Finegoldia magna. RNAcentral's name for it is "partial 16S ribosomal RNA". It matches the Rfam family "Bacterial small subunit ribosomal RNA", at positions 1 to 96 of the family's 1533-position model. The record is from RNAcentral. Lineage: Bacteria; Bacillati; Bacillota; Tissierellia; Tissierellales; Peptoniphilaceae.